This 72-nucleotide transfer RNA is filed under the name Pseudarthrobacter sp. BIM B-2242. It matches the Rfam family "tRNA". From Rfam's summary of the family: Transfer RNA (tRNA) molecules are approximately 80 nucleotides in length. Their secondary structure includes four short double-helical elements and three loops (D, anti-codon, and T loops). Further hydrogen bonds mediate the characteristic L-shaped molecular structure. tRNAs have two regions of fundamental functional importance: the anti-codon, which is responsible for specific mRNA codon recognition, and the 3' end, to which the tRNAs corresponding amino acid is attached (by aminoacyl-tRNA synthetases). tRNAs cope with the degeneracy of the genetic code in two manners: having more than one tRNA (with a specific anti-codon) for a particular amino acid; and 'wobble' base-pairing, i.e. permitting non-standard base-pairing at the 3rd anti-codon position. Lineage: Bacteria; Bacillati; Actinomycetota; Actinomycetes; Micrococcales; Micrococcaceae. The record is from Rfam by way of RNAcentral.
GCCCGAUUGGCUCAGUGGCAGAGCACGUUCUUGGUAAGAACGAGGUCGCCGGUUCGAUUCCGGCAUCGGGCU